This 403-nucleotide ribosomal RNA is filed under the name uncultured bacterium. Its description in RNAcentral is "bacterial SSU rRNA". It matches the Rfam family "Bacterial small subunit ribosomal RNA", at positions 355 to 775 of the family's 1533-position model. The record is from RNAcentral.
UGGGGAAUAUUGGACAAUGGGCGAAAGCCUGAUCCAGCCAUGCCGCGUGAGUGAUGAAGGCCUUAGGGUUGUAAAGCUCUUUUGUCAGGGAAGAUGAUGACGGUACCUGAAGAAUAAGCACCGGCUAACUUCGUGCCAGCAGCCGCGGUAAUACGAAGGGUGCUAGCGUUGUUCGGAAUCACUGGGCGUAAAGCGCGCGUAGGCGGCUUUUCAAGUAAGGGGUGAAAUCCUGAGGCUCAACCUCAGAAUUGCCUUUUAAACUGUAAAGCUAGAGUGUCGGAGGGGAUAGCGGAAUUGCUAAUGUAGAGGUGAAAUUCGUAGAUAUUAGCAGGAACACCGGUGGCGAAGGCGGCUAUCUGGACGACAACUGACGCUUAGGCGCGAAAGCGUGGGGAUCAAACAG